UGAACGCUGGCGGCGUGCUUAACACAUGCAAGUCGAACGAUGAAGCCUAGCUUGCUAGGUGGAUUAGUGGCGCACGGGUGAGUAAUAUAUAGAUAACGUGCCUCUUAGUCUGGGAUAGCCAUUGGAAACGAUGAUUAAUACUAGAUACUCCUUCUGAUUCUAAUUUCAGUCGGGAAAGUUUUUCGCUAAGAGAUCGGUCUAUAUCCCAUCAGUUAGUUGGUAGGGUAAUGGCCUACCAAGGCAAUGACGGGUAGCGGGUUUGAGAGGAUGAUCCGCCACACUGGUACUGAGACACGGACCAGACUCCUACGGGAGGCAGCAGUGAGGAAUAUUGCACAAUGGGGGAAACCCUGAUGCAGCAACGCCGCGUGGAGGAUGACGCAUUUCGGUGUGUAAACUCCUUUUAUAAGGGAAGAAAAUGACGGUACCUUAUGAAUAAGCACCGGCUAACUCC
RNAcentral lists this ribosomal RNA (454 nucleotides) under uncultured bacterium. RNAcentral describes it as "bacterial SSU rRNA". It matches the Rfam family "Bacterial small subunit ribosomal RNA", at positions 30 to 504 of the family's 1533-position model. The record is from RNAcentral.